UGGGAAUUCGAAGAGGCCAAACGGUGU
RNAcentral lists this small RNA (27 nucleotides) under Bombyx mori (domestic silkworm). RNAcentral's name for it is "piRNA piR-bmo-1786661". Lineage: Eukaryota; Metazoa; Arthropoda; Insecta; Lepidoptera; Bombycidae. The record is from RNAcentral.